GACGAACGCUGGCGGCGUGCUUAACACAUGCAAGUCGAACGGAAAGGCCCUGCUUGUGUGGGGUGCCCGAGGGGGGAAGGGGUGAGUAACACGUGAGUAACCUGCCCUUGACUUUGGGAUAACUUCAGGAAACUGGGGCUACUACAGGAUAGGAGCUGCCGUUGCAUGGUGGGGGUUGGAAAGUCUCGGCUGUCGGGGCUGGACGCGCGGCUUACGAGCUUGUUGGUGGGGUAGUGGCUUACCAAGGCUUUGACGGGUAGCCGGCCUGGGAGCGUGGCCGGCCACAAUAGUACUGCGGGACGCACCAGAGUGGAACAUGGGGCAGAGGGCGGAAGUAUUGUACAAUGAGCGGAAGCGUGUGACGACAGCGCCGGGUGCGUGAAGACGGCCUUCGGGUUAAGAACCGCAUUAGGCUGUGACGAAGCGUGUGUGACGGUACUGAGUGAAGAAGCACCGGCUAACUUCGUG
RNAcentral lists this ribosomal RNA (468 nucleotides) under uncultured bacterium. Its description in RNAcentral is "partial 16S ribosomal RNA". It matches the Rfam family "Bacterial small subunit ribosomal RNA", at positions 28 to 507 of the family's 1533-position model. The record is from RNAcentral.